RNAcentral lists this transfer RNA (72 nucleotides) under Ornithorhynchus anatinus (platypus). It matches the Rfam family "tRNA". Rfam says of the family: Transfer RNA (tRNA) molecules are approximately 80 nucleotides in length. Lineage: Eukaryota; Metazoa; Chordata; Mammalia; Monotremata; Ornithorhynchidae. The record is from Rfam by way of RNAcentral.
AGCAGCGUGGCUCAGUGGAAAGAGCCCGGGCUUGGGAGUGCGAGGUCAUGGGUUCGAAUCCCAGCUCUGCCA